AAUAUUGGACAAUGUGCGCAAGCCUGAUCCAGCCAUGCCGCGUGCGUGAGGAAGGCCUUCGUGUUGUAAAGCUCUUUCGGAGGGGCAGAAAUCGCUCAGGCUAAUUCCCUGCGCGGAUGCCGGUACCUUCUUAAGAAGCACCGCCUAACUACGUGCCGCUAGCCGCGGUAAUACGUAUGGUGCGAGCGUGAAUCGGAAUUACUGGGCGUAAAGCGUGGGCAGGCGGUUGAUUAAGACAGGCGUGAAAUCCCCGGGGUUAACCUGGGAACUGAGCUUGUGACUGGUCAGCUAGCGUACGGAAGAGGGGGGUGGAAUUCCACGUGUAGCAGUGAAAUGCGUAGAGAUGUGGAGGAACACCGAUGGCGAAGGCAGCCCCCUGGGCCGAUACUGACGCUCAUGCACGAAAGCAUGGGUAGCAAACAGGA
Molecule: ribosomal RNA, 425 nt
Filed under: uncultured bacterium
Lineage: Bacteria
Description: partial 16S ribosomal RNA
Rfam family: Bacterial small subunit ribosomal RNA
Source: RNAcentral